UUCCUUUUAGCAGCAAAUAUACUAAAAUUGGAAUGAUGCAAAGAAGAUUAGCUUGGCCCCUGGGCAAGGAUGACACGAAAAUUCGUGAAGCAUUUUAUAUGUAA
Gorilla gorilla gorilla (western lowland gorilla) is the source of this 104-nucleotide small nuclear RNA. Lineage: Eukaryota; Metazoa; Chordata; Mammalia; Primates; Hominidae. The record is from Rfam.